Molecule: long non-coding RNA, 307 nt
Organism: Dreissena polymorpha
Lineage: Eukaryota; Metazoa; Mollusca; Bivalvia; Myida; Dreissenidae
Exons: 3
Source: RefSeq, a predicted model, not a curated record
CAAUGCGGGGAAUCACGUGGUCAGAAUUGACAAAACAUGGCCGCCGAUGCCUCGAUAAGAUGGAAAAUUUGAGUGUUUAAACAGUACUCGUUUUACAUGAGCCGGAUAGAGGACAGACUGUACAUAUAACCUCGAAGCGGACAUAAAACCUUAUAGCUACAGACACCAACUCAGACACAUUACAAUUUACAAGAGAUCAGGCAAGAUGUGCAUCAGCAGAUACAGAUGAACACCCAAGUUGCAACAGUAACAAGAAAGAGCCUCAGACUUAGUAUGUAUAUAUGUAUGUAUAUAACUAAUCGUGGAC